UACGUAGGGUCCGAGCGUUAAUCGGAAUUACUGGGCGUAAAGCGUGCGCAGGCGGUUUUGUAAGCCAGAUGUGAAAUCCCCGGGCUCAACCUGGGAACUGCAUUUGGGACUGCAAGGCUUGAGUACGGCAGAGGGGGAUGGAAUUCCGCGUGUAGCAGUGAAAUGCGUAGAUAUGCGGAGGAACACCGAUGGCGAAGGCAAUCCCCUGGGCCUGUACUGACGCUCAUGCACGAAAGCGUGGGGAGCAAACAGG
Molecule: ribosomal RNA, 253 nt
Filed under: uncultured bacterium
Lineage: Bacteria
Description: partial 16S ribosomal RNA
Rfam family: Bacterial small subunit ribosomal RNA
Source: RNAcentral